This 378-nucleotide ribosomal RNA is filed under the name uncultured eukaryote. Its description in RNAcentral is "partial 18S ribosomal RNA". It matches the Rfam family "Eukaryotic small subunit ribosomal RNA", at positions 592 to 975 of the family's 1831-position model. The record is from RNAcentral.
CAAUAGCGUAUAUUUAAGUUGUUGCAGUUAAAAAGCUCGUAGUUGGAUUUCGGAUGGGACUUGCCGGUCCGUCGUUUCGAUGUGCACUGGCCAGUCCUAUCUUGUUGUCGGGGACUAGCUCCUGGGCUUCACUGUCCGGGACUAGGAGCUGACGAGGUUACUUUGAGUAAAUUAGAGUGUUCAAAGCAAGCCUACGCUCUGAAUACAUUAGCAUGGAAUAACACGAUAGGACUCUGGCUUAUCUUGUUGGUCUGUGAGACCAGAGUAAUGAUUAAGAGGGACAGUCGGGGGCAUUCGUAUUUCAUUGUCAGAGGUGAAAUUCUUGGAUUUACGGAAGACGAACAUCUGCGAAAGCAUUUGCCAAGGAUGUUUNCAUUG